Non-coding RNA from Hordeum vulgare subsp. vulgare (domesticated barley), 136 nucleotides. NCBI's taxonomy places the organism in Eukaryota, Viridiplantae, Streptophyta, Magnoliopsida, Poales, Poaceae. The record is from Rfam.
CUUAUACUCCCUCCGUCCUAAAAUUCUUGUCUUAGAUUUUGUUUAGAUAUGAAUGUAUCUAAUCACGGUUUAGUAUUUAGGUGCACUCAUUUUUAGAAAAAACUAAGACAGAAAUUUUGGGACGGGGGACUAUUUC